CCUACGGGGGGCAGCAGUGGGGAAUCUUCCGCAAUGGACGAAAGUCUGACGGAGCAACGCCGCGUGUAUGAUGAAGGUCUUCGGAUUGUAAAGUACUGUCUUUGGGGAAGAACGACUGAUUUGAGAAUAUUGAGUCAGUAUGACGGUACCCAAGGAGGAAGCCCCGGCUAACUACGUGCCAGCAGCCGCGGUAAUACGUAGGGGGCAAGCGUUGUCCGGAAUUAUUGGGCGUAAAGGGCGCGUAGGCGGAUAGUUAAGUCCGGUGUGAAAGAUCAGGGCUCAACCCUGAGAGUGCAUCGGAAACUGGUUAUCUUGAGGACAGGAGAGGAAAGUGGAAUUCCUAGUGUAGCGGUGAAAUGCGUAGAUAUUAGGAGGAACACCAGUGGCGAAGGCGACUUUCUGGACUGUAACUGACGCUGAGGCGCGAAAGCGUGGGGAGCAAACAGGAUUAGAUACCCCUGUAGUC
RNAcentral lists this ribosomal RNA (466 nucleotides) under uncultured Desulfosporosinus sp. RNAcentral's name for it is "bacterial SSU rRNA". It matches the Rfam family "Bacterial small subunit ribosomal RNA", at positions 338 to 795 of the family's 1533-position model. Lineage: Bacteria; Bacillati; Bacillota; Clostridia; Eubacteriales; Desulfitobacteriaceae. The record is from RNAcentral.